GGGUCCAUAGCUCAGCUGGUAGAGCGCCUCGUUUACACCGAGAAGGUCCUCCGUUCGAGUCGGAGUGGACCCACCA
RNAcentral lists this transfer RNA (76 nucleotides) under Candidatus Berkelbacteria bacterium. Its description in RNAcentral is "tRNA-Val". It matches the Rfam family "tRNA". From Rfam's summary of the family: Transfer RNA (tRNA) molecules are approximately 80 nucleotides in length. Their secondary structure includes four short double-helical elements and three loops (D, anti-codon, and T loops). Further hydrogen bonds mediate the characteristic L-shaped molecular structure. tRNAs have two regions of fundamental functional importance: the anti-codon, which is responsible for specific mRNA codon recognition, and the 3' end, to which the tRNAs corresponding amino acid is attached (by aminoacyl-tRNA synthetases). tRNAs cope with the degeneracy of the genetic code in two manners: having more than one tRNA (with a specific anti-codon) for a particular amino acid; and 'wobble' base-pairing, i.e. permitting non-standard base-pairing at the 3rd anti-codon position. Lineage: Bacteria; Candidatus Berkelbacteria. The record is from RNAcentral.